Long non-coding RNA from Rosa chinensis, 520 nucleotides. RefSeq lists it as uncharacterized. Lineage: Eukaryota; Viridiplantae; Streptophyta; Magnoliopsida; Rosales; Rosaceae. The record is from RefSeq and is a predicted model, not a curated record. The transcript is spliced from 3 exons.
GACCUUAGUUCUGCUCCUCCCAAACUCUCCAAGCAAGGAAAGGCGACUAAGGUGAGGAUUGAAGGCCCACGCCGUCUCUGAUUUGGAACGGACGAGGAGGCUGUGGGAUACUUGGACAUAAAAAUCCAAGCCAGAGGAGAAAAAUCAAAAACACUUAUCAACAGCUUUACAAUAAGUCCAUUGAUGCUCUCCAUUCUGAACUCUUUGGAGAUUUCAGAGUAAUUUUCUACAAUCCUUUACGCUUCCCAUUUCUUAUAAUUAAUAUAUGGGAAGAAAAAAUCCUUAACUUUUAAUGUCAUUUGUCUACCUUAUCAUGUGAAUUGUUCAUUCAAAGGCCAUAUUAAAUGUCUUGCAUAAGCAUGAAAAACGCAUUCCUUGUUGUUAUCUGUUAUUUUUCCUCUGUAUUGUAUGAUACUACCACUUUCUAAUUAUUCUGGUUCAUAAAAGAUUUAGCAAAGAAAAGUGUUUGUUAAAGAAUGUGAAUACAAGCUUUGUUUCAAUCUCCCGUUUUUUGUUAUUG